CAGUAGCCGCGGUAAUACGAACCGUGCGAACGUUAUUCGGAAUCACUGGGCUUAAAGCGCGUGUAGGCGGGCCGCCACGUCGGCUGCUGAAAUCCCCCGGCUCAACCGGGGAAGUGGCACCGAUACGAGCGGCCUCGAGGGGGGUAGGGGGGACUGGAACUUCCGGUGGAGCGGUGAAAUGCGUUGAGAUCGGAAGGAACGCCCAUGGCGAAAGCGAGUCCCUGGACCCUCUCUGACGCUGAGACGCGAUAGCCAGGGGAGCGAACGGGAUUAGAUACCCGUGUAGUCCCUGUCUCUUAUU
This 301-nucleotide ribosomal RNA is filed under the name uncultured bacterium. RNAcentral describes it as "partial 16S ribosomal RNA". It matches the Rfam family "Bacterial small subunit ribosomal RNA", at positions 509 to 807 of the family's 1533-position model. The record is from RNAcentral.